AAUCUGCCCUUGGGACGGGGAUAACUCCGGGAAACUGGAGCUAAUACCCGAUGGGCGGGAACGCCUGGAAUGGUCUCCCGCUGAAAUGGCGUUGAAAACAUGCUUUCAACGUUGCCCAAGGAUGAAACCGCGGCCGAUCAGGUUGUUGGUGAGGUAACGGCUCACCAAGCCUAUAACCGGUACGGGCCCUGAGAGGGGGAGCCCGGAGAUGGAACCUGAGACAAGGUUCCAGGUCCUACGGGACGCAGCAGGCGCGAAAACUCCACAAUGCACGAAAGUGCGAUGGGGUUAUCCCGAGUGCCGUCUGAUGAGGACGGCUUUUCACUGGUGUAAUGAGCCAGUGGAAGAAGGGGAGGGCAAGACUGGUGUCAGCCGCCGCGGUAAUACCAGCUCCCCGAGUGGUGGGGACGUUUAUUGGGCCUAAAGCGUUCGUAGCCGGCUUGAAAAGUCUUCCGUUAAAUCUGGCGACCCAAUCGUCAGGCCGCGGAGGAUACUGUUAAGCUAGGGGGCGGGGGAGGUCGACGGUAUUCUCGGGGUAGGGGUGAAAUCCUAAGAUCCUGAGAGGACCA
RNAcentral lists this ribosomal RNA (569 nucleotides) under uncultured archaeon. RNAcentral describes it as "bacterial SSU rRNA". It matches the Rfam family "Archaeal small subunit ribosomal RNA", at positions 106 to 659 of the family's 1478-position model. The record is from RNAcentral.